This 254-nucleotide ribosomal RNA is filed under the name uncultured Geobacillus sp. RNAcentral describes it as "partial 16S ribosomal RNA". It matches the Rfam family "Bacterial small subunit ribosomal RNA", at positions 1128 to 1382 of the family's 1533-position model. Lineage: Bacteria; Bacillati; Bacillota; Bacilli; Caryophanales; Anoxybacillaceae. The record is from RNAcentral.
CGGUUGGGCACUCUAGAGGGACUGCCGGCGACAAGUCGGAGGAAGUGGGGAUGACGUCAAAUCAUCAUGCCCCUUAUGACCUGGGCUACACACGUGCUACAAUGGGCGGUACAAAGGGCUGCGAACCCGCGAGGGGGAGCGAAUCCCAAAAAGCCGCUCUCAGUUCGGAUUGCAGGCUGCAACUCGCCUGCAUGAAGCCGGAAUCGCUAGUAAUCGCGGAUCAGCAUGCCGCGGUGAAUACGUUCCCGGGCCUU